RNAcentral lists this ribosomal RNA (251 nucleotides) under uncultured bacterium. Its description in RNAcentral is "partial 16S ribosomal RNA". It matches the Rfam family "Bacterial small subunit ribosomal RNA", at positions 524 to 773 of the family's 1533-position model. The record is from RNAcentral.
UACGUAGGGACCCAAGCGUUGUUCGGAUUUACUGGGCGUAAAGGGCGCGUAGGCGGCACUGUAAGUCACUUGUGAAAUCUCUGAGCUUAACUCAGAACGGCCAAGUGAUACUGCAGCGCUAGAGUGUGGAAGGGGCAAUCGGAAUUCUUGGUGUAGCGGUGAAAUGCGUAGAUAUCAAGAGGAACACCUGAGGUGAAGACGGGUUGCUGGGCCAACACUGACGCUGAGGCGCGAAAGCCAGGGGAGCAAAC